AACCUUAUGGACCUGCGGGCGUAUACCUGCGGAAGGAUCAUUACUGAGUGAGGGCCUUCGGGCUCGACCUCCAACCCUUUGUGAACACAACUUGUUGCUUCGGGGGCGACCCUGCCGUUUCGACGGCGAGCGCCCCCGGAGGCCUUCAAACACUGCAUCUUUGCGUCGGAGUUUAAGUAAAUUAAACAAAACUUUCAACAACGGAUCU
Molecule: unclassified non-coding RNA, 208 nt
Filed under: soil metagenome
Description: partial contains 5.8S ribosomal RNA, internal transcribed spacer 2, and large subunit ribosomal RNA
Source: RNAcentral